RNAcentral lists this non-coding RNA (795 nucleotides) under Pheidole pieli. The record is from RNAcentral. Lineage: Eukaryota; Metazoa; Arthropoda; Insecta; Hymenoptera; Formicidae.
AAAAAAUUUAAUUUAUAUUUAUUAAUUUAUUUUAUAAAUAAUAAUAUUAAUAAUAUUUAAUAAAAAUAAUUUAUUUAAAUUUAAAUAAUUUAUAAAUAAUUUAAUUAAUAUUUAUAAUAAUUAAAAUUAUAAAAUAAUAAAUAGUAAUUUAUAAAAAUAAUAAUAAAAUUAGUGCCAGCAAUUGCGGUUAUACUAAUGUUAUAAAUAAAUUUUAUUAUAAUUAAUAAUUAAAUAAUAAAUUUAAAUAAAUUAAUAUAAUAUAUAUUUUAUAUGGUGAAAUAUUUAAAAUAAUAUAAUAAUUAAGAAUAAUUAAAAAUAAAUUUAUUAAAUUAUUGGAAAAAUUAGGAUUAGAUACCCUAUUAUUAUAAAUAAAAUGUUAAUUAAUAAGAAAUUAAAUGUGAAUCAUUAAAUUUAAAAAAUUUGGCGGUAUUUUAAAUAAUUAGAGGAAUUUGUUAGUUAAAUGAUAGUCCACGAUCGGAAUAGUCCUAAUUAAGUUUUUAUGUAUUGUUGUAUAAAAAUUAUUUUAUAAAAAUUUUAUAAUUAAUAUAUUUAAUUUAAUUUGAAUUCAAAUCAAAAUGUAGAAUCGUUAGGAAUGUGAAUGAAUUACAAUUUAAUUUAAUAUUGAAAUUGUUUUUUAAAUUAUAAUAAUGAAAUAGGAUUUAAAAGUAAAUUUAAAUAAGUGUUUAAGUUGAAAAAUUAAUUAAAGUAUGUACAAAUUGCCCGUCAUUUUCAUGAAUAAUUAAUUGAAAGAAGUCGUAACAAAGUAAAUGUACAGGAAUGUGUAUUUAGUUGAGA